This 1121-nucleotide ribosomal RNA is filed under the name Acidiferrobacteraceae bacterium. RNAcentral's name for it is "partial 23S ribosomal RNA". It matches the Rfam family "Bacterial large subunit ribosomal RNA", at positions 1 to 1050 of the family's 2925-position model. Lineage: Bacteria; Pseudomonadati; Pseudomonadota; Gammaproteobacteria; Acidiferrobacterales; Acidiferrobacteraceae. The record is from RNAcentral.
AGUAAAUUUAGAUCAAGCGUUUUAGGGCUUGCGGUGGAUUCCUUGGCGUCAAUGGGCGAAGAAGGGCGUAGCAAGUUGCGAUAAGCUUCGGGGAGCCGCUAACAGGCGUUGAUCCGGAGAUUCCCGAAUAGGGCAACCUUAUGUGGGUUAUACCGCAUAAUCUCUGACUGAAUUCAUAGGUCAGAGAAGCUCACCAGGGGAAUUGAAACAUCUAAGUACCCUGAGGAAAAGAAAACAAAAGUGAUUCCCCUAGUAGCGGCGAGCGAACGGGGAACAGCCUAAACCAGAAUGUAUGUCAAGCUCGUGGGCGUUGUACAUCUGGGGUUGUGGGUUUUAACUGGGCGGAGCUACGAAUCCGCCGGAGUGUUACAAAAGCAUGUUAUAGCUUAAGAAACUGGAAAGUUUUGCCAUAGAGGGUGAUAGCCCCGUGAGCGAAAUGGCAUGUUCACUCUGAGUUAGAUACCCGAGUACCGCGGGACACGAGAAAUCUUGUGGGAAUCUGGGAGGACCACCUCCUAAGGCUAAAUACCAUUGACGACCGAUAGUGAACUAGUACCGUGAGGGAAAGGUGAAAAGCACCCCGGUGAGGGGAGUGAAAUAGAAUAUGAAACCGUAAGCCUACAAUCAGUGGGAGCACUAUAUUUCCGAUUCGUCGGAGACACGUGUGACCGCGUACCUUUUGCAUAAUGAGCCGCCGAGUUACUUUAUUUAGCAAGGUUAAGCCGUUAGGUGUAGCCAUAGCGAAAGCGAGUCUUAAUAGGGCGAUAGUUAAGUGAAGUAGACCCGAAACCGGGUGAUCUAUCCAUGACCAGGGUGAAGCGAAGGUAACACUUCGUGAAGGCCCGAACCAGUAGUCGUUGAAAAGACUUUGGAUGAGUUGUGGAUAGGGGUGAAAGGCCAAUCAAACUCGGUAAUAGCUGGUUCUCCUCGAAAUAGUUUUAGGCCUAGCCUUGUAUAAGAUAGUUCACGGAGGUAGGGCUCUGGAUGGGCUAGGGGCCUCACCAGGUUACCAAACCCAACCAAUCUUCGAAUUCCGUGGAUGGUAAUACAGGAGUCAGACUAUGGGUGAUAAGGUCCAUGGUCGAAAGGGAAAGAGCCCAGAUCACCAGCUAAGGUCCCUA